Long non-coding RNA from Dendroctonus ponderosae (mountain pine beetle), 2198 nucleotides. RefSeq lists it as uncharacterized. NCBI's taxonomy places the organism in Eukaryota, Metazoa, Arthropoda, Insecta, Coleoptera, Curculionidae. The transcript is spliced from 2 exons. The record is from RefSeq and is a predicted model, not a curated record.
GUCAAGCCUCCGAUAAUGGACGGAUUUUGAUGGCGACCCAUGUGAGGACAAGGAAAAGGACAAGGAGAACGCAAAAACACAAAUUUAUUCCCACUAGAUUUGCCUGCUGGAGUAUCACCUCUUGGAAUGGUAGAUGUUAGGAGAUGAUUAUGGAAAUGGAAAAACAUAAAAUAGACACAUGUGGAUAUAUCUGAGACCAAGCGAAAUGGAAGGGAUACAUUAAAUACCAAGAUUACAUCUUUGCCUACAGUGGACAACCAAAGCAAGACCGCGCCGACUCAGGUGUGGGUAUUCUUGUACAUGAUAAGUACUCUGACAUUAUUGAAAACAUAGAAUAAGUAAAUGGUAGGAUCCUAAGAAUCAACAUGGCAUUCCCCAAGGGCUCACUACAUCUAAUCAGCAUCUAUGCGACCGAUAUAUCCAAGCCAAAAAAAUACUCUGAAAGCUUUUAUAACUCCCUACAAACCAUUAUAGAUCAAAUACCCAACAUAUUAUAGCUCUUGGAGAGCAGUAUUAACAGCUCUCCGAGCAGUUAAUACUGCUCGGAGACUUUAAUGCUCGAAUUGGUACAGUAGAAAUUCCAAGUGUAAAACAGAAGGUUAACGAACCAACUCCCAAUGAGAACGGCGAGUCUCUAAUCGACUUUCGCGCCAGAAAUGAGCCAAGAAAAAAUUACACCUUUUUCCAACAUCAAGAUCAACAUAAAUACACCUUCUGUAGUAGAGGCGAAAAAUCCAUCAUUGACUAUAUAAUAGCGAACAGAGCUAUAAUCGCACCAUAAUAUUGUGCUGGAAAAGAAAGCACUGGAAAAACAUCAGAAACAUAAUAAAGAACCGCUAUAUAUCGAAAAAUACAACAUGGAAUCACUGGACUAAUACAGUACAAAAGCUUUAUACCAGCGGACACUUGCCAACAAACUACCAUACGAAAAUAUAACCGAAGGAAAUUUCAAUGGGAACAGGGAAAGGAUAAAAUCGUGUAUCCAUAAUGCCGCGGAAAAAUGCGAAAAUUAACGUGCAUGGCCAAAACCACAACACACCAUGGUUCUGCCAGCAGGUGAAAAAGCUAGCCAAUGAAAAAAAGAAGUUACUUGCUUGAGAUCAAACACAAAGAGAGAGUUCUUUGCAAAAUUUGCCAAAGACGUGCAACACGAUUUAUAUGGAGCUCACAGGAAAGUAUGGAAGAUGGUUAAAAAUCGAAAAUAUCCUGUGAAAGAAUGCGUUCAAACUAAAAGAGUGUCACUGCGCAACUGGGAGAGAUAUAUUUUAAUGACCUUUUCGAUAACAAUGGAGACACAAAGAUGAGAGCUGAGCAGCUAGAAGAAGAAGAAGAGUGGAAUAUUAAGCUCACAAACAAUCCCCGACGACAAAAAAUGGACAAAAAAACAAACCGAGAAAAUAUACAGAGGUAUAACUCUUCUAUGCUCCACCAUGAAAUUAUUCACCGGCCUUAUUAAAGAUAACCUGGAUCAACAUAUCGAAAUUAAAGACGGACAGCAAGGGUUCCGGAUAAAUAGGUCUACAACUGAGGCCCUAUUUAUCAUACGCUAAACAAAAGGAAAUGUAAUAGCAUUGGACACCCGCGCUUUUGCAUGUCUUAUCGAUUUAACAAAAGCGUUUGACCGUGUCCGACUGGAAGACAUUAUCAACAUCUUGAAGAAAAAACGAACGCCUGCAAGAUUUAUAAAUACAGUAUACUGCCUAAACACAGGCAAUUCGACCCGAAUGAAAGUUGGUAAUAAAACAACAAAUGACAUACCGAUAUCACAGGGUAUAAGACGAGCCCGUUUCUGUUCACCCUGAUUAGAUACGAGAUCAUUGAAGAAAUCAGUGGCUUAAGAAUGGGGUAUUGGAUCAACAGGAAACCCACCAGUGUAAUUUGCCACGCUGAUGACGCGACAAUUUUGGCAGAAACGAAGGACAAUUUGAAAGCAACUUCACAGAUUCAAUCAGGUCAGCACACAAUUUAAUAUGCAAAUAUCAAUAUCCAAGACAAAAUGGCAAGUCACAACUUUCGGAUACCUUGGAGCGGAUAUUUCUAGCCGCAACGAACCAAUUAAAGAUCUUAAAUCCCAGAUCAACACAGCCUCGUUAACAUCAGGUUGCUUAAGAGACGUCAUAUGGAACAACAUAUGAGCAUCGACUAAAGUUCCGAUAUAAGGUUUUUUGCAAUGUUUGCAUAAAUAAUUUUAUAAGAUA